GAUGAACGCUGGCGGCGUGCCUAAUACAUGCAAGUCGAGCGAACAGACCAGGAGCUUUCUCCUCUGACUUUAUCGGCGGACGGGUGAGUCACACGUGGUUAACCUACCUCUACGACUGGGAUAACUUCGGCAAACCGUAUCUAAUACCGGAUAAUAUAUUGAACCUCAUUGUUCACUAGUUAAAUUCGGUUUUUCUUUGACUUAUGGAUUAAUCCGCGCCGCAUUAGUUAGUUGUUUAGGUAACUGCUUACCAAGGCAACGACGCGAAGCCGACCUGAGAGGGUGGUCGGACAGACUGGAAGUGAGACACGGCAGAGACUCCGGCAGGAGGCAGCAGUAGGGAAUCUUACGGGAGGGGGGAAAGCGUGACGGAGGAAAGCCGGGGGAAUGAUGAAGGACUUAGGAUCGGAAAACGCUGUAGGUAGGGAAGAACAAAUGUGUAAGUAACUAGGAACGUAUUGACAGUACCUGAACAGAAAGCCACGGCUAACUACGUG
Molecule: ribosomal RNA, 497 nt
Filed under: uncultured bacterium
Lineage: Bacteria
Description: partial 16S ribosomal RNA
Rfam family: Bacterial small subunit ribosomal RNA
Source: RNAcentral